RNAcentral lists this ribosomal RNA (253 nucleotides) under uncultured bacterium. Its description in RNAcentral is "partial 16S ribosomal RNA". It matches the Rfam family "Bacterial small subunit ribosomal RNA", at positions 524 to 776 of the family's 1533-position model. The record is from RNAcentral.
UACGUAGGGUGCAGGCGUUAAUCGGAAUUACUGGGCGUAAAGCGUGCGCAGGCGGUUUGCUAAGACAGGUGUGAAAUCCCCGGGCUUAACCUGGGAACUGCGCUUGUAACUGGCAAGCUAGAGUGUGGCAGAGGGGGGUGGAAUUCCAGGUGUAGCAGUGAAAUGCGUAGAGAUCUGGAGGAACACCGAUGGCGAAGGCAGCCCCCUGGGCUAACACUGACGCUCAUGCACGAAAGCUAGGGGAGCAAACAGG